UAUGAUUGAAUUCUAUGCCAAUAAGGGUUA
Molecule: non-coding RNA, 30 nt
Filed under: Rattus norvegicus (Norway rat)
Lineage: Eukaryota; Metazoa; Chordata; Mammalia; Rodentia; Muridae
Source: RNAcentral